UAGGGAAUAUUGGGCAAUGGACGCAAGUCUGACCCAGCCAUGCCGCGUGUAGGAAGACGGCCCUCUGGGUUGUAAACUACUUUUAUCAGGGAAGAAGAGUGGGCUUGCGAGCCCAUGUGACGGUACCUGAGGAAUAAGCACCGGCUAACUCCGUGCCAGCAGCCGCGGUAAUACGGAGGGUGCAAGCGUUGUCCGGAUUUAUUGGGUUUAAAGGGUGCGUAGGUGGCCUUUUAAGUCAGCUUUGAAAGCUGGUCGCUUAACGAUCAGGGGUGGGUUGAUACUGGAAGGCUUGGAUCAGGUGGCGGUUUCUGGAACGGGUCGUGUAGCGGUGAAAUGCAUAGAUAUGACCCAGAACUCCGAUUGCGAAGGCAGGAGGCUACGCCUGUAUUGACACUGAGGCACGAGAGCAUGGGGAGCAAACAGG
This 424-nucleotide ribosomal RNA is filed under the name uncultured bacterium. RNAcentral describes it as "bacterial SSU rRNA". It matches the Rfam family "Bacterial small subunit ribosomal RNA", at positions 355 to 776 of the family's 1533-position model. The record is from RNAcentral.